CCUACGGGAGGCAGCAGUAGGGAAUAUUGCUCAAUGGGGGCAACCCUGACGCAGCAACGCCGCGUGGAGGAUGAAGGUUUUCUGAUUUUUAAAUCCUUUUUUUAGAGCAGAUAAUGUCGGUAUCUAACUACUCCUCACCGGCUAACUCCGUUCCAGCAGCCGCGGUCCUACGGAGGGUGCAAGCGUUACUCGGACUCACUGGGCGUAAAGAGCGCGUAGGAGGGAUAGCAAGUCAGGUGUGAAAUCCUAUGGCUUAACCAUAGCACUGCCUUUGAAACUGUUCUUCUUGAGUAUGGGAGAGGGAGGCGGAAUUCUUGGUGUAGGGGUAAAAUGCGUAGAGAUCAAGAGGAAUACUGAUUGCGAAGGCGACCUGCUAGAACAUAACUGACGCUGAUGCGCGAAAGCGUGGGGAGCAAACAGGAUUAGAUACCCCUGUAGUC
RNAcentral lists this ribosomal RNA (440 nucleotides) under uncultured bacterium. Its description in RNAcentral is "partial 16S ribosomal RNA". It matches the Rfam family "Bacterial small subunit ribosomal RNA", at positions 338 to 795 of the family's 1533-position model. The record is from RNAcentral.